AAUGGGGACGUUUCCCUCUGGCUUUGUGCUGCAAAGGGGCCUCACGUUCGUUCUUCUUGGAGAGUGAAUUUCAACAAAACCUAUUUCAGCAGCUUCACUGAGCUGGAUCUGCUUGCAGCAGUGCAGAUACCUGAGCUCAGUGGGUCAAGGGAAGAGGUUGCAGAUGGCUACUCACAGACCCGCGUUCAUAGCAGCACCCCUCACGGUCGCCAAAAGGUAGAAGCAACCCGGGUGUCCAACAGGGGUUUACAACACAGUGGAACAUGACUUGGCCUUCAAGGGGAAGAGAUUCUGCCACAGGCUGCCCCCCACACAAACCUUGAGGCCAUUGUGCUAGGGGAAGUAAUGCUUCUAAAAUAACAAACACGCUCUGAUUCUGCUUGUGGGAAGUCCCCAGGUGGUCAGAUCCACAGAGACUGCUGGGGCUGGGGCAGGGGAAAUGGAGUGUCUGUUUCUAAUGGGUACAGAGUUCCUGUGCAGGGAGAUGAGAAAGUGCUGGAGAUGGGUGGCGGUGGCCACUGCAGGACAAUGUGAAGGAUCAUAAUGCCACUGACACAUAGCUAAGAAACGUCCCAGUGCUGAAGUUUAUGUUAUGUGUAUUUUGCCAUAACAAAAAGAAAUUGCAUUAAAUAAAGAAAAGCAUAUAUGUGUAUUUCACACGAGAGCUUCGCUUGUGAAAUGCUCUCCUGCUUUACUUUAGGAAAAG
This 706-nucleotide long non-coding RNA is filed under the name Marmota monax (woodchuck). The record is from RNAcentral. Lineage: Eukaryota; Metazoa; Chordata; Mammalia; Rodentia; Sciuridae.